AAAUUAAAAAAAAAAAAAAAGAAAAGAAAGAGCGGGGCGGCGCGUAUACGGACAACUGAAAAGGAAGCAUGGCGCGAAUUUCGACGCAGGUUCUGGACUAACAAUUCUCAAAUAAAACAAGAGUGGCUCUGGCGCUUCGGAGGCAUAUGAUUCUCAAUCUCUAUACGCCUCUCCUUCUUGUUAUUGUAAUAAUAUUUAAUUUCCAACGCAAAUAUUCUCAGAAUCUAAUUUCUUUGGGCUGGUCUAUUGAUGCUCUUUUAGAUUUCGACGACAGCAAUAUCCAGAUUCUGAUUUUACUGGGGGACUGUUGUCAACUUGUCAUUUGAGAAGAACAAUCUCUAGGAACUAACAUGACAAGUAUAGCUGCCUUCAGUGCCAACCUGCACUACAGGUUAAACAAAUGCAGGGUACACAGUUGCACACAACCCGCCCAGGUGUCUGGUGCGGCAUUCAAUGGAGGCUUGCAGAAAGAACUUUCAUGGUCAUAUGGAGUAUCCAAGAUGUUGCAAAUUCAAAGAUGUAACAUUUACCGGUCUACCAUUGGUGAAUACUGGAAAUCUUUUGGAACGAUAACAGUUAGUGUAUCAUCUUGCCUAAGAGAUGGUUCCACCAAGUAUUUUGAUUUUGUCGUUAUUGGAAGUGGAGUUGCUGGACUUCGCUAUGCCCUUGAAGUUGCAAAACAUGGAACUGUUGCUGUGAUAACCAAGGCUGAGCCUCAUGAGAGCAAUACAAACUAUGCCCAAGGUGGCGUUAGUGCUGUGUUGUGUCCUUUGGACUCUGUGGAGAGUCACAUGCAGGAUACCAUUGUAGCAGGGGCUUAUCUAUGCGAUGAGGAAACUGUUAGAGUUGUUUGUACUGAAGGACCUGACAGAAUCAGGGAAUUGAUAGCUAUGGGUGCAAUGUUUGAUCAUGGUGAGGACGGAAACCUGCACCUAGCAAGGGAAGGGGGUCACUCUCACCAUAGAAUUGUUCAUGCUGCCGAUAUGACUGGGAGGGAGAUUGAGCGAGCGCUGCUGGAGGCAGUUGUUAAUGAUCCUAAUAUAUCCAUGUUUGAACACCACUUUGCAAUAGAUUUACUGACUUCUCAGGUUCAUUUCCUAGUACUUCUUUUGUUUAUACAAAAACCGAGAAGCAUAACUUUAGGUACUCACUUAUAGUAUUUUUUUUGGCUGAAUUAUUUCUUAAAUGUGUGUUGGUAUAAAUGUAGCAUUAACUUUAAUAUUCAGUUUCAAAAUUAAGGAACAGUUGAAUGUAUUCACCUCACUUGUGGUGUGCUUCUUCAUCUGACGUCAUAAAGUUUUAAGUUUACAUCAGUGUGGAUACUUAAAUGAAUUUUGUGUUGCUGUAGGAUGGUCCUGACACAGUUUGCCAUGGCGUUGACACAAUGAAUACUGAAACACAAGAGGUUAUUCGUUUCAUUUCAAAGGUGACUUUACUUGCAUCAGGUGGGGCUGGGCAUAUCUAUCCAUCUACCACAAAUCCUCCGGUGGCCACUGGAGAUGGCAUUGCAAUGGCUCACAGAGCUCAAGCUGUGGUGUCAAACAUGGAAUUUGUGCAGUUCCAUCCAACUGCCUUAGCUGAUGAAGGCCUUCCUGUCAAACCAAACAAAGCUCGAGAAAAUGCAUUUCUUAUCACUGAGGCCGUCAGGGGUGAUGGGGGCAUCCUCUAUAAUUUAAGCAUGGAAAGGUUUAUGCCCAUGUAUGAUGAGAGGGCUGAGUUAGCUCCUAGGGAUGUGGUGGCAAGAAGUAUAGAUGACCAGCUUAAAAAGCGUAAUGAGAAGUAUGUGCUACUUGAUAUAAGUCACAGGCCCAGAGAAAAAAUACUCUCCCACUUUCCCAACAUAGCUACUGAGUGUCUUCAGUAUGGCCUGGAUAUAACUCAUCAGCCAAUUCCAGUGGUUCCUGCUGCACAUUACAUGUGUGGUGGAGUCCGUGCUGGGCUUCAGGGGGAGACAAAUGUGCGGGGCCUCUAUGUAGCAGGUGAGGUUGCAUGCACUGGUUUGCAUGGAGCAAACAGACUUGCUAGCAAUUCAUUGCUUGAAGCACUGGUUUUUGCAAGAAGAGCAGUCCAGCCUUCAAUUGAUCACAUGAAGUGCUCUAGGCUUGAUCUCAGUGCUUCAAGUUGUUGGGCACGACCAGUUGUGCCCAAUUCACUUGGAAGUGAUGUAAUAGACAACAUAUUGAAGACAACAGUGAAAGUAAGGAAAGAACUGCAAUCAAUCAUGUGGAAAUAUGUGGGAAUUGUUCGCUCAACAACUAGACUAGAAACUGCUGUGGGAAAAAUCAGUGAACUGGAGUCUCAGUGGGAAAAGCACUUAUUUGAGCAAGGAUGGGAGCAAACAAUGGUAGGGCUUGAGGCUGGUGAAAUGAGGAAUCUCUUUUGUUGUGCAAAGCUGGUGGUGAGCAGCGCCCUGGCUAGGCAUGAAAGCCGCGGUCUUCACUAUACGAUCGAUUUCCCGCAUGUGGAGGAAAGUAAGAGGUUGCCAACAAUUAUUUUCCCUUCUCCCAUAAAUAGUACAUGGAGUUCACGACAGGUACACAAGCUGGCUAUCUGUUAGCAAGUGCAGGGCCUGCGUCUGAUUUCUUCCAGCUAAAACAUUAUUUUUUUGGAUAUAUCAUUCAUUAUUUAAAUGAAGAUUUAUAUUGAAUCCUCUGGUAAGAAAGGGGAUGUGCCUUUCUUUGUUUACUUGAAAAUUUCUUUGUUUCUUUUUAUGGACUUGUUAAGAGAGCCUAACAAUAAUGUCCUUAGUGAUUGGAUUGCUAUAAGUAGGAUGAGUUAUGAAUAUUUGAAAAAUUGAAUUUGAUGAGUCAAUAAAUGCUAUAAAACAUGCUGUAGCCUGUAUUAGGAGAAAUUAUAUAAUUUCUCCUAAUACAGG
Molecule: unclassified non-coding RNA, 2875 nt
Filed under: Hevea brasiliensis (rubber tree)
Lineage: Eukaryota; Viridiplantae; Streptophyta; Magnoliopsida; Malpighiales; Euphorbiaceae
Source: RNAcentral